RNAcentral lists this ribosomal RNA (460 nucleotides) under uncultured bacterium. Its description in RNAcentral is "partial 16S ribosomal RNA". It matches the Rfam family "Bacterial small subunit ribosomal RNA", at positions 338 to 795 of the family's 1533-position model. The record is from RNAcentral.
CCUACGGGAGGCAGCAGUGAGGAAUAUUGGUCAAUGGACGAGAGUCUGAACCAGCCAAGUAGCGUGAAGGAUGACUGCCCUAUGGGUUGUAAACUUCUUUUAUCAAGGAAUAAAACGAGGCACGUGUGCCUUUUUGCAUGUACUUUAUGAAUAAGGAUCGGCUAACGCCGUGCCAGCAGCCGCGGUAAUACGGAGGAUCCGAGCAUUUUCCGGAUUUAUUGGGUUUAAAGGGAGCGUAGAUGGGUUGUUAAGUCAGGUGUGAAAGUUUGGGGCUCAAACGUAAAAUUGCCAUUGAUACUGGCAGUCUUGAGUACAGUUGAGGUAGGCGGAAUUCGUGGUGUAGCGGUGAAAUGCUUAGAUAUCACGAAGAACCCCGAUUGCGAAGGCAGCUUACUAAACUGUGACUGACAUUGAUGCUCGAAAGUGUGGGUAUCGAACAGGAUUAGAUACCCUGGUAGUC